RNAcentral lists this long non-coding RNA (1043 nucleotides) under Marmota monax (woodchuck). The record is from RNAcentral. Lineage: Eukaryota; Metazoa; Chordata; Mammalia; Rodentia; Sciuridae.
AAGUUCAAGAAUAGCUUCAGCAACUUACUGAGACCCAGUCUCAGAAGAAAAAGCAAACAAGACUGGAAUGUAGCUCAGUGGUAGAGUACCCCUGGGUUCAAUCCCCAGUACCAAAAAAACAAAUACAAUAUUAAAUUAUAUAAGCAAUGCUGAAUACAGUUUCAUAGUUGAAAAGCCAAAUGGUUUAGAAAUAUAGAAUAAAAAGUUAAUGAUCCUCUUCCUCCCACCCCACAUCCAAAAGCCUAUCCUCCAAGUAGGCACUAUUAAUUAUUUGGUGGAAACAUUCAGACUUUUUGCUUUGCACUUACACAUAUGUGAGUCUGAGAUAAUAUUUGUGGAAUUGAUCUUUUUUCAUCCCUGAAUUUUCCCCUUUCUUGUCCUCACAUUCAUGGAGCUCAUCACUUCUGAACCUCUCUCCAGGUUAGAAAUCCAAAUCAGCUUUCAAGUAUCUCUGGCUUUUGUGUGCUGAAAGCUUAAGCAUUCUUUAGAGCAACCUCAAGAUUUUCUGAACAGCUUAUCAAAGGACAAGGGCUCUCUUGCAGAGAUUGAAUGCCUUGACUAGAAACAAGAUGGAAGAAUAAUUUGCUUUGGAGUAGAAAGACCUCCAACCCUUGUAAGCCCUCCCUUCUCCAGUCUGACUAAGGGCAGGAGACACAAGAGGAGAAAUGUCCCACCUUGUUUUCUACCUGUUCGCCUAGACAGGCAGUAAAAUCCCAAAGAGAGUUGACGUCAUGGUGAAGGCAGGACACAAGGUCACUGGCAACUUGAUCCAUGGUUCCUAAUUGCUCUGAAGAGGCACAUAGCAGCAGGGACUGCCAUACCUGGCCUCAGCCAGCCUCACCUUCACCUUUUCUAGUUUGUGCCUGGCUCUUCCAGCGUUCAGGAGAAUUUAGACACAUCUGACAUCAAGUCUCCUAUUGUCAGGACUGAAGCUUCCCAUAAGCAGUGAAUUGAGUUACAGGCACUAAAAUGUGAUUUCUUGCAUGCCUAAGUUUGUAAAUUAAGAUUCAGGUGUCAUGUACUGUUCAUAUUCUGCCACUUAA